GUCAAUGGACGCAAGUCUGAACCAGCCAUGCCGCGUGAAGGAUGAAGGUCCUCUGGAUUGUAAACUUCUUUUAUCUGGGACGAAAACGGGAUUUUUAUCUCAAUUGACGGUACCAGAGGAAUAAGCACCGGCUAACUCCGUGCCAGCAGCCGCGGUAAUACGGUGGGUGUGAGCGUUAUCCGGAUUUACUGGGUUUAAAGGGUGCGUAGGUUGGCUUAUAAAUCAGUGGUGAAAUCUCCGAGCUUAACCUGGAAACGGCCGUGUAUACUAUAGGGAUUGAAUUAUCUGGAGGGAAGCGGAAUAUGUCAUGUAGCGGUGAGCUGCUUAGAUAUUGCAUAGAAUACCAGUUGCGAAGGCAGCUUACGACAUAGAAAUUGACGCUG
Molecule: ribosomal RNA, 383 nt
Filed under: uncultured bacterium
Lineage: Bacteria
Description: bacterial SSU rRNA
Rfam family: Bacterial small subunit ribosomal RNA
Source: RNAcentral